This 76-nucleotide transfer RNA is filed under the name Camelus bactrianus (Bactrian camel). It matches the Rfam family "tRNA". From Rfam's summary of the family: Transfer RNA (tRNA) molecules are approximately 80 nucleotides in length. Their secondary structure includes four short double-helical elements and three loops (D, anti-codon, and T loops). Further hydrogen bonds mediate the characteristic L-shaped molecular structure. tRNAs have two regions of fundamental functional importance: the anti-codon, which is responsible for specific mRNA codon recognition, and the 3' end, to which the tRNAs corresponding amino acid is attached (by aminoacyl-tRNA synthetases). tRNAs cope with the degeneracy of the genetic code in two manners: having more than one tRNA (with a specific anti-codon) for a particular amino acid; and 'wobble' base-pairing, i.e. permitting non-standard base-pairing at the 3rd anti-codon position. Lineage: Eukaryota; Metazoa; Chordata; Mammalia; Artiodactyla; Camelidae. RNAcentral also lists the same sequence under 3 other names. The record is from Rfam by way of RNAcentral.
GAGGCUAUAGCUCAGUGGUAGAGCGCAUGCUUACUUACCAUGCAUGAGGUCCUGGGUUCAAUCCCCAGCACCUCCA